Vigna unguiculata (cowpea) is the source of this 1124-nucleotide long non-coding RNA. NCBI's taxonomy places the organism in Eukaryota, Viridiplantae, Streptophyta, Magnoliopsida, Fabales, Fabaceae. The record is from RefSeq and is a predicted model, not a curated record.
GCAUUCAUGUUUUCUUUUCAUCUGUAACCCUUACGCGAAAGCCUCGUCUCCCACCAAGUAGAAGCAGCUACGUCUCCAACCACAGCAGAAGCACCUACGUCUCCAACCACUAUAACAACAACAUUCGCAUCCUCCAAGCACAACAACAUCAUCGAUAUUUCAAUUGGGCACUAUCAAUUAAGGGUUUGUGAAAUUCGUUCUUCUUCUCGAUCAAUUUUUGCAGCGACGAACCAGUUCUCGUAUCUUCCGGCAGCGGGCCAACAAUGGCGAACUAGCAACCACUACACGACGGUCCUUCUUUGAAUAACUAAAGAAUGCUUGGAUAAAGCAAUAUCAAUAUGUGCACCGGGAGUGGAAUUCAAGGCAAUUUGAAAAUCAAUUCAAAAACAAUGAAAGCAAGACACUACACGUAAGGCAAAUCAUAAGGGGUUCUUCUUUUUAUCACCCCAAAUAACAACACAUGAACUACCAAUGAAAGAGAGAAUGCAAAAAAUAGUAAGUAUAUUUCUUGACAAUGGAGUGAUUAAUAAGUUUGUUCUUGCUCCUAUCAAUACAGGGUAAUACUUUUUUUUUCCUAACUUUAUCAAUAAUGUAUUAUUUUCAAAGUUAGAUGCACAAAAUCUAAUUUUGUUGAUUGAUUUCCAAUUUUAACCAACAUUGGGUCUUGCUCGGAAUCAAUCUUAAAAUGGAGAUAAUUUAUUAUCUUGACCCAUUGGCAAAAGACAUUAAUAUAAGGCAAGAUUUGAAGAAGUUGUUUGACAUGGUUAAACAAACCUACCGAGCUCAAAGAGGGUCUAUGGUUUCAAAGUCUAAGUUAAGCAAUAUCAAAUGGACACCGAUUAAGUGUCCAAAACAAUCAAACGGCCAUGAUUGUGGGUAUUACAUUUGUCGAUAUAUGAAGGAAAUUGUCACAUAUUGUGAAGGAGGGACAAUUCCAAUAGAUUAUUUUCCUAGUUGCAGAUGUCAACAAUAUUCGGACAAUCAAAUCAUUGAAGUCAGGGAAGAUUGGUGUUUUUAUCUCAUUAGUAAAUCUUUAUAGGUUAGUAGGGAAGGUUAGGAACAAUGUUUUGCCUAAAGUGUUUUGGCCCCACAGUCUAGCAAAAAUGGAACAUGAUGGAUGAGUA